AUGUUAACUUUCUCAGGAUCAAAGGAUUCAGAAGGCUAUUUUGCUCUCAUUUUAUCCUUAGGCUUCAGCAGAAGAAACACUUCCUAUAAAUCUCGCCCAAACAGGAAAGGUUCCCAGCACUCCAAAGCCAAGCUCACCUCCUCAUCACACGCCCUGCAGGAGAAGCAUCAGGGUGUCCGACUACGUGGGUUUCAUAGCUGUGGAAAAGCCAAAGGGGAGACUCCUGAAGAAAGGCGGUGAAGACUGUGAAGAGCGGGUCAGGAAGAUGAGCACAGCACUGCUACUCCUGUGGGCACAGGGACAGCAUGUCUCCAGCCAGCGCCACCUUGUUUAAUACAUGGGAACUCACUGAAAUUCAUUCUGUAUUUUGCCCACAAAGUUUUAAAGCUUUCAUCCACAGUCAGGAAUUAAACUUAUACCAAUGAGAGCCUCACACAUUCAAGGAUGUACUAAGCACUACAGGCCUCACAGAAACAGAGAUCCCAUCUUGGAGUUUUCAGUCCCACAUGGGAGAUAAAGGGUUUUGAACAUGAAAUGACAAAAACAACAGCAAGAAGAAAAUUCUCGUCCUUUUUCAUUACUAUCAAACUCAAAUAAAUGUCUUGGCUCUUACAUUACAUUCAUUCUUCAACCAUUGUGGUCUGGCUUCCACUUCCUUCACUUCACCAACAUGGCUCUGCCAAAGGAAGCCUGUGAUCUCUAGGCCAUCACUUUAAUUGAUCUCUCUACAACAUUUAUCCUGGUCGUUAAGCCCUCCUUACAACAUUCUUCUCUCUUUGUUUUUAU
Molecule: long non-coding RNA, 786 nt
Filed under: Homo sapiens (human)
Lineage: Eukaryota; Metazoa; Chordata; Mammalia; Primates; Hominidae
Description: HSALNT0380418
Source: RNAcentral